GACGAACGCUGGCGGCGUGCCUAAUACAUGCAAGUAGAACGCUGAAGGAAGGAGCUUGCUCUUUCUGGAUGAGUUGCGAACGGGUGAGUAACGCGUAGGUAACCUGCCUGGUAGCGGGGGAUAACUAUUGGAAACGAUAGCUAAUACCGCAUAAAAUUGAUUAUUGCAUGAUAGUCAAUUAAAAGGUGCAUCUGCACCACUACCAGAUGGACCUGCGUUGUAUUAGCUAGUUGGUGGGGUAACGGCUCACCAAGGCGACGAUACAUAGCCGACCUGAGAGGGUGAUCGGCCACACUGGGACUGAGACACGGCCCAGACUCCUACGGGAGGCAGCAGUAGGGAAUCUUCGGCAAUGGACGGAAGUCUGACCGAGCAACGCCGCGUGAGUGAAGAAGGUUUUCGGAUCGUAAAGCUCUGUUGUAAGAGAAGAACGAGUGUGAGAGUGGAAAGUUCACACUGUGACGGUAUCUUACCAGAAAGGGACGGCUAACUACGUG
This 497-nucleotide ribosomal RNA is filed under the name uncultured bacterium. RNAcentral describes it as "partial 16S ribosomal RNA". It matches the Rfam family "Bacterial small subunit ribosomal RNA", at positions 28 to 507 of the family's 1533-position model. The record is from RNAcentral.